CGAGUCUGACGGAGCACGCCGCGUGAGUGAUGAAGGUUUUCGGAUCGUAAAACUCUGUUGUUAGGGAAGAACAAGUGCGAGAGUAACUGCUCGCACCUUGACGGUACCUAACCAGAAAGCCACGGCUAACUACGUGCCAGCAGCCGCGGUAAUACGUAGGUGGCAAGCGUUGUCCGGAAUUAUUGGGCGUAAAGCGCGCGCAGGCGGUUUCUUAAGUCUGAUGUGAAAGCCCCCGGCUCAACCGGGGAGGGUCAUUGGAAACUGGGAAACUUGAGUGCAGAAGAGGAGAGUGGAAUUCCACGUGUAGCGGUGAAAUGCGUAGAGAUGUGGAGGAACACCAGUGGCGAAGGCGACUCUCUGGUCUGUAACUGACGCUGAGGCGCGAAAGCGUGGGGAGCGAACAGGAUUAGAUACCCUGGUAGUCCACGCCGUAAACGAUGAGUGCUAAGUGUUAGAGGGUUUCCGCCCUUUAGUGCUGCAGCUAACGCAUUAAGCACUCCGCCUGGGGAGUACGGUCGCAAGACUGAAACUCA
Molecule: ribosomal RNA, 533 nt
Filed under: Bacillus sp. (in: firmicutes)
Lineage: Bacteria; Bacillati; Bacillota; Bacilli; Caryophanales; Bacillaceae
Description: bacterial SSU rRNA
Rfam family: Bacterial small subunit ribosomal RNA
Source: RNAcentral